GAUGAAGAACGUAGCGAAAUGCGAUAAGUAGUGUGAAUUGCAGAUUUCAGUGAAUCAUCGAAUCUUUGAACGCACAUUGCGCCCUUUGGUAUUCCUUAGGGCAUGCCUGUUCGAGCGUCAUUUAAACCUUCAAGCUCAGCUUGGUGAUGGGUGACUGUCCGCUGCCUCCCCCCGGGGUGCGCCGCGGACUCGCCUCAAAACGAUUGGCGGCCGGUACGUUGGCUUCGAGCGCAGCAGAAACGCGUAACUCGAGGUGCCCGUGGCGGCUCCCAGAAGCAACCUUAUUAUUUUUACCUCGGAUCAGGUAAGGAUACCCGCUGAACUUAAGCAUAUCAAUAAGCGGAGGA
This 347-nucleotide unclassified non-coding RNA is filed under the name soil metagenome. RNAcentral's name for it is "partial contains 5.8S ribosomal RNA, internal transcribed spacer 2, and large subunit ribosomal RNA". The stretch from base 1 to 120 matches the Rfam family "5.8S ribosomal RNA", at positions 35 to 154 of the family's 154-position model. The record is from RNAcentral.